AGAGCGGCGGACGGGUGAGUAACGCGUGGGUAACCUGCCCUGUACACACGGAUAACAUACCGAAAGGUAUGCUAAUACGAGAUAAUAUGCUUUUAUCGCAUGGUAGAAGUAUCAAAGCUCCGGCGGUACAGGAUGGACCCGCGUCUGAUUAGCUAGUUGGUAAGGUAACGGCUUACCAAGGCGACGAUCAGUAGCCGACCUGAGAGGGUGAUCGGCCACAUUGGAACUGAGACACGGUCCAAACUCCUACGGGAGGCAGCAGUGGGGAAUAUUGCACAAUGGGCGAAAGCCUGAUGCAGCAACGCCGCGUGAGCGAUGAAGGCCUUCGGGUCGUAAAGCUCUGUCCUCAAGGAAGAUAAUGACGGUACUUGAGGAGGAAGCCCCGGCUAACUACGUGCCAGCAGCCGCGGUAAUACGUAGGGGGCUAGCGUUAUCCGGAAUUACUGGGCGUAAAGGGUGCGUAGGUGGUUUCUUAAGUCAGAGGUGAAAGGCUACGGCUCAACCGUAGUAAGCCUUUGAAACUGGGAAACUUGAGUGCAGGAGAGGAGAGUGGAAUUCCUAGUGUAGCGGUGAAAUGCGUAGAUAUU
RNAcentral lists this ribosomal RNA (587 nucleotides) under uncultured Clostridium sp. RNAcentral describes it as "bacterial SSU rRNA". It matches the Rfam family "Bacterial small subunit ribosomal RNA", at positions 92 to 698 of the family's 1533-position model. The record is from RNAcentral. Lineage: Bacteria; Bacillati; Bacillota; Clostridia; Eubacteriales; Clostridiaceae.